Molecule: non-coding RNA, 73 nt
Organism: Entomophthora muscae
Lineage: Eukaryota; Fungi; Entomophthoromycota; Entomophthoromycetes; Entomophthorales; Entomophthoraceae
Source: the annotation of a GenBank genome assembly
AGGAUAAUAGCUUAAUUGGUAAAGCAUACCGCUCAUAACGGUAAAAAUAUUGGUUCAAUUCCAGUUUAUCCUA